GGACGAUAACGGCGUCGAGCGGCGGACGGGUGAGUAAUGCCUAGGAAAUUGCCCUGAUGUGGGGGAUAACCAUUGGAAACGAUGGCUAAUACCGCAUAAUGCCUACGGGCCAAAGAGGGGGACCUUCGGGCCUCUCGCGUCAGGAUAUGCCUAGGUGGGAUUAGCUAGUUGGUGAGGUAAUGGCUCACCAAGGCGACGAUCCCUAGCUGGUCUGAGAGGAUGAUCAGCCACACUGGAACUGAGACACGGUCCAGACUCCUACGGGAGGCAGCAGUGGGGAAUAUUGCACAAUGGGCGCAAGCCUGAUGCAGCCAUGCCGCGUGUGUGAAGAAGGCC
Molecule: ribosomal RNA, 336 nt
Filed under: sponge bacterium XM18
Lineage: Bacteria
Description: bacterial SSU rRNA
Rfam family: Bacterial small subunit ribosomal RNA
Source: RNAcentral